This 494-nucleotide ribosomal RNA is filed under the name uncultured bacterium. Its description in RNAcentral is "partial 16S ribosomal RNA". It matches the Rfam family "Bacterial small subunit ribosomal RNA", at positions 28 to 507 of the family's 1533-position model. The record is from RNAcentral.
GGCGAACGCUGGCGGCGUGCUUAACACAUGCAAGUCGAACGGUGAAGCGCCUUCCUUUUUGGUGGGUGUGGAUGAGUGGCUAACGGGUGAGUAACACGUGAGUAACCUGCCCCCUUCUUCUGGAUAACCGCAUGAAAGUGUGGCUAAUACGGGUUAUUCUGGGUCUGUCGCAUGUUGGGUCUGCGAAAUAUCUUGUUUCGGUGGGGGAUGGGCUCGCGGCCUAUCAGCUUGUUGGUGGGGUGAUGGCCUACCAAGGCGGUGACGGGUAGCCGGCCUGAGAGGGUGGACGGUCACACUGGGACUGAGACACGGCGCAGACUCCUACGGGAGGCAGCAGUGGAGAAUAUUGCACAAGGGGAGCAAGGCUGAUGCAGCGACGCCGCGUGAGGGAUGGAGGCCUUAGGGUUGUGAACCUCUUUCGCCAGUGAAGCAGGCCUGCCUCGUUUGUGGGUGGGUUGACGGUAGCUGGAUAAGAAGCGCCGGCUAACUACGUG